RNAcentral lists this ribosomal RNA (325 nucleotides) under uncultured eukaryote. RNAcentral describes it as "partial 18S ribosomal RNA". It matches the Rfam family "Eukaryotic small subunit ribosomal RNA", at positions 1470 to 1796 of the family's 1831-position model. The record is from RNAcentral.
CCCUUAGAUGUUCUGGGCCGCACGCGCGCUACACUGAUGCAUUCAACGAGCCUAUCCUUGACCGACAGGUCCGGGUAAUCUUUGAAUCUGCAUCGUGACGGGGAUAGAUUAUUGCAAUUAUUAAUCUUCAACGAGGAAUGCCUAGUAGGCGCAAGUCAUCAGCUUGCGUCGAUUACGUCCCUGCCCUUUGUACACACCGCCCGUCGCUCCUACCGAUUGGGUGUGCUGGUGAAAUGUUCGGAUAGGCCGUUUGUCGCGGUUUCCGCGGCUCGUGGCUGAGAAGUUCAUUAAACCCUCCCACCUAGAGGAAGGAGAAGUCGUAACA